This 485-nucleotide ribosomal RNA is filed under the name Bacillus sp. oral taxon A51. RNAcentral describes it as "bacterial SSU rRNA". It matches the Rfam family "Bacterial small subunit ribosomal RNA", at positions 43 to 504 of the family's 1533-position model. Lineage: Bacteria; Bacillati; Bacillota; Bacilli; Caryophanales; Bacillaceae. The record is from RNAcentral.
CGGGCGUCUUAACAUGCAAGUCGAGCGGAAAUUUUAUUGGUGCUUGCACCUUUAAAAUUUUAGCGGCGGACGGGUGAGUAACACGUGGGUAACCUACCUUACAGAUUGGGAUAACUCCGGGAAACCGGGGCUAAUACCGAAUAAUACUUUUCAACACAUGUUUUGAAGUUGAAAGACGGUUUCGGCUGUCACUAUAAGAUGGACCCGCGGCGCAUUAGCUAGUUGGUGAGGUAACGGCUCACCAAGGCAACGAUGCGUAGCCGACCUGAGAGGGUGAUCGGCCACACUGGGACUGAGACACGGCCCAGACUCCUACGGGAGGCAGCAGUAGGGAAUCCUCCACAAUGGACGAAAGUCUGAUGGAGCAACGCCGCGUGAGUGAAGAAGGAUUUCGGUUCGUAAAACUCUGUUGCAAGGGAAGAACAAGUAGCGUAGUAACUGGCGCUACCUUGACGGUACCUUGUUAGAAAGCCACGGCUAACUAC